Molecule: long non-coding RNA, 609 nt
Filed under: Ornithorhynchus anatinus (platypus)
Lineage: Eukaryota; Metazoa; Chordata; Mammalia; Monotremata; Ornithorhynchidae
Description: lncRNA (ENSOANG00000048968.1)
Source: RNAcentral
GACUUCGCCGACUACUUCACUAUCAUUUUCCACUGAGCAGGUUUUCAUUCAUUCACAAUUGGUACUCAGCCCAAGUCCCCAGCAUCCCCCGAGACCCUCCCCAUGCUUUCCGAGCUGUAGUUUAGCAUGCACUAGAAGACAAGCACUGGUGCUUUCUCGGUAGACCUACAGGCUGCCGGUUGGAGCCGUCCGGGAGCGAAAAGAAGAAUUAGACUGUGUGUUUAUGUGGCUGGGCUCCAGUAAAUAUUUUGAUGCAUCUGCUGCCAGCUCUGGUCUGAGGGAAUCUACCUGGCAUUUAGAUUUGGAUGGGGAGCUGUUUUGAAUGAUAACGGUGCAGCUGGCUGUGAGUCAGUGCAUGUGUGUUGGCUGGGAAAAAAAAAAAUCUCCUAGCUCAACGUUUGCUGAAUGCUGAGCUGCAGUGCUCGCUGCCUUUUUUUUUUGUGAGUAGACGAGCCAAACAGAUUUUUUUCGGGGGCGACAAGGAAACUCAAAAGUCACCCUCAACUACCUUUAAACAUGGGGGCUGUGAUGGGCACCUUCUCCUCACUGCAGACCAAACAAAGACGACCCUCCAAAGAGCCUUACGGUGUGUUGAAAUUAUGAAACGAG